UGCAUGGCGCUGCUAUACAUGCAGUCGAGCGGACCUUUUAAAGCUUGCUUUUGAAAGGUCAGCGGCGGACGGGUGAGUAACACGUGGGCAACCUGCCUGUAAGACUGGGAUAACUUCGGGAAACCGGAGCUAAUACCGGAUAAUAUAAGGAACCUCCUGGUUCUUUAUUGAAAGAUGGUUUCGGCUAUCACUUACAGAUGGGCCCGCGGCGCAUUAGCUAGUUGGUGAGGUAACGGCUCACCAAGGCGACGAUGCGUAGCCGACCUGAGAGGGUGAUCGGCCACACUGGGACUGAGACACGGCCCAGACUCCUACGGGAGGCAGCAGUAGGGAAUCUUCCACAAUGGACGAAAGUCUGAUGGAGCAACGCCGCGUGAGCGAUGAAGGCCUUCGGGUCGUAAAGCUCUGUUGUUAGGGAAGAACAAGUGCGAGAGUAACUGCUCGCACCUUGACGGUACCUAACCAGAAAGCCACGGCUAACUACGUGCCAGCAGCCGCGGUAAUACGUAGGUGGCAAGCGUUGUCCGGAAUUAUUGGGCGUAAAGCGCGCGCAGGUGGUCCUUUAAGUCUGAUGUGAAAGCCCACGGCUCAACCGUGGAGGGUCAUUGGAAACUGGGGGACUUGAGUGCAGAAGAGGAAAGUGGAAUUCCAAGUGUAGCGGUGAAAUGCGUAGAGAUUUGGAGGAACACCAGUGGCGAAGGCGACUUUCUGGUCUGU
This 717-nucleotide ribosomal RNA is filed under the name Sutcliffiella horikoshii. Its description in RNAcentral is "bacterial SSU rRNA". It matches the Rfam family "Bacterial small subunit ribosomal RNA", at positions 38 to 737 of the family's 1533-position model. The record is from RNAcentral. Lineage: Bacteria; Bacillati; Bacillota; Bacilli; Caryophanales; Bacillaceae.